This 301-nucleotide ribosomal RNA is filed under the name uncultured bacterium. Its description in RNAcentral is "partial 16S ribosomal RNA". It matches the Rfam family "Bacterial small subunit ribosomal RNA", at positions 509 to 808 of the family's 1533-position model. The record is from RNAcentral.
CAGUCGCCACGGUAAAACGUAGGUCCCGAGCGUUGUCCGGAUUUAUUGGGCGUAAAGCGAGCGCAGGCGGUUAGAUAAGUCUGAAGUUAAAGGAUGUGGCUUAACCAUAGUACGCUUUGGAAACUGUUUAACCUGAGUGCAAGAGGGGAGAGUGGAAUUCCAUGUGUAGCGGUGAAAUGCGUAGAUAUAUGGAGGAACACCGGUGGCGAAAGCGGCUCUCUGGCUUGUAACUGACGCUGAGGCUCGAAAGCGUGGGGAGCAAACAGGAUUAGAUACCCGCGUAGUCCCUGUCUCUUAUACA